UUGUCUUUUUUCUUGUUAAUUUCUGCUGAUAACUCCUAUUCUAGUUGGAUUCCUAGAUCUAGUAUCUGUUUUCUUCCAUGUUUCAGUAUACAGCAAUGGGGCAAUAGAGAAUGGAUUUAUCCAGCUAUUCUGGUCAUCACAAAUAGUCCUGCCUUUGCUGAAUGGUGGGGCUGUGCUGAGUGAUGGCUUCGUUGUGGCUCUCUAAAAUCAUGGACUACUACCUGUAACAGAAUCUUUGACAAAGAUGACUAAACAUGCAUAGCAUACAUUUCCUCUGGCCUUCUGCAACAUCACAGUGGUGGAGUGGAUUUGAAAUGAUCUAUAGUUACACAUCUCUGUGUGACAGAAUUUGUCUAUUUUUCUUAUGGCCACAUUGCUGAGAACUGAGAGCAC
Molecule: long non-coding RNA, 393 nt
Organism: Anas platyrhynchos (mallard)
Lineage: Eukaryota; Metazoa; Chordata; Aves; Anseriformes; Anatidae
Source: RefSeq, a predicted model, not a curated record